Molecule: small nuclear RNA, 23 nt
Filed under: Arabidopsis thaliana (thale cress)
Lineage: Eukaryota; Viridiplantae; Streptophyta; Magnoliopsida; Brassicales; Brassicaceae
Description: snRNA_14880
Source: RNAcentral
AGAUGAAGUUUUACAAAUCUUAA